RNAcentral lists this ribosomal RNA (98 nucleotides) under Paenibacillus sp. 79R4. Lineage: Bacteria; Bacillati; Bacillota; Bacilli; Caryophanales; Paenibacillaceae. The record is from RNAcentral.
GGGUUCCACACGUACCCAUCCCGAACACGACCGUUAAGCCCUCUAGCGCCGAUGGUACUUGGACCGAAGGGUCCUGGGAGAGUAGGAAGCCGCCAAGC